AAUUAUCCACGCGCCGUGGCAGAAUGUGAGAUAAAGGCAAUGAUUUCUUAUCCCAAGGACACGGUCAAGCAGCCCUUGCCAAGCCUACAGAGAACUGCUGGCCUGAAGGUGAACAGGAGUAUUUCCAUGGAGAUGUUUUCCACAGAAACAGGAGGCCCAUCACAGGAGCAGGAGAGAUGUUUGUUAUCUUUGCCUGGUGGCGCCAGCAGUUGAGCAAGAGGAGUGGGAGGCUGGCUGCUGGUUCCUGUACCCGUGCCAUCAGGAGCUCCCACCUCAUCCCGCUGGGUGGGGGACUCAGGCUCGGUAGCAUUCCCGCCAUGAGUGAAAUGGAAAAACCCUUCUGGGCUGCUCUGCCUGCAGAGAUGCUGUGA
This 371-nucleotide long non-coding RNA is filed under the name Junco hyemalis (dark-eyed junco). Its description in RNAcentral is "lncRNA (ENSJHYG00000000988.1)". The record is from RNAcentral. Lineage: Eukaryota; Metazoa; Chordata; Aves; Passeriformes; Passerellidae.